UACGUAGGAUCCAAGCGUUAUCCGGAAUUACUGGGCGUAAAGCGUGAGCAGGUGGUUUAUUAGGUCAGAUACUAAAUCUUACGGCUCAACCGUAAGCUGCAAUCUGAAACCAAUAGACUAGAGGUCGGUAGAGGCAAGCGGAAUUUGUAGUGUAGCAGUGAAAUGCGUAGAUAUUACAAGGAACACCAAUGGCGAAGGCAGCUUGCUGGGCCGCACCUGACACUCAGUCACGAAAGCGUGGGGAGCGAACGGG
This 253-nucleotide ribosomal RNA is filed under the name uncultured bacterium. Its description in RNAcentral is "partial 16S ribosomal RNA". It matches the Rfam family "Bacterial small subunit ribosomal RNA", at positions 524 to 776 of the family's 1533-position model. The record is from RNAcentral.